ACGUAGGGUGCAAGCGUUGUCCGGAAUUAUUGGGCGUAAAGAGCUCGUAGGCGGCUUGUCGCGUCUGCCGUGAAAACCCCAGGCUCAACCUGGGGCGUGCGGUGGGUACGGGCAGGCUAGAGUGCGGUAGGGGAGAUUGGAAUUCCUGGUGUAGCGGUGAAAUGGGCAGAUAUAGGGAGGAACACCAGUGACGAAGGCGGCUCUCUGGUCUGUAACUGACGCUGAGGCGCGAAAGCAUGGGUAGCAAACAG
This 251-nucleotide ribosomal RNA is filed under the name uncultured prokaryote. Its description in RNAcentral is "partial 16S rRNA". It matches the Rfam family "Bacterial small subunit ribosomal RNA", at positions 525 to 775 of the family's 1533-position model. The record is from RNAcentral.